Molecule: transfer RNA, 71 nt
Filed under: Marmota monax (woodchuck)
Lineage: Eukaryota; Metazoa; Chordata; Mammalia; Rodentia; Sciuridae
Description: tRNA.Ser
Source: RNAcentral
GGGGUUGUUGCUCAGUGGUAGAGUGCUCACCUAGAACUUGUGAGGCACUGGGUUCAAACCUCAGCACCACA